AUACGGAGGGUGCGAGCGUUGUUCGGAAUUAUUGGGCGUAAAGAGCAUGUAGGCGGUCUGUUAAGUCUGGUGUGAAAGCCCGGGGCUCAACCCCGGAAGUGCAUUGGAUACUGGCAGACUUGAGUAUGGGAGAGGAAAGCGGAAUUCCGAGUGUAGGAGUGAAAUCCGUAGAUAUUCGGAGGAACACCAGUGGCGAAGGCGGCUUUCUGGACCAAUACUGACGCUGAGAUGCGAAAGCGUGGGGAGCGAACAGGAUUAGAAACCCGAGUAGUCC
RNAcentral lists this ribosomal RNA (274 nucleotides) under uncultured bacterium. RNAcentral's name for it is "partial 16S ribosomal RNA". It matches the Rfam family "Bacterial small subunit ribosomal RNA", at positions 523 to 796 of the family's 1533-position model. The record is from RNAcentral.